This is a long non-coding RNA of Populus trichocarpa (black cottonwood), 2725 nucleotides long. RefSeq lists it as uncharacterized. Lineage: Eukaryota; Viridiplantae; Streptophyta; Magnoliopsida; Malpighiales; Salicaceae. The record is from RefSeq and is a predicted model, not a curated record. The transcript has 2 exons.
GUCCGGGAUCGACCGGGUCCCGGACGACCUGCUGGUCGGGCCGGGCUUCAAAACUAUAGUACAAGGAGUAAUUUAGUCGAAUGAAAUCAUUCUUCCUAAAAUCCUGGCACUAAGAUGGAAGGUAGACGAAGGAGCUGUUUUCAACAAGUCAAUGGUUGGGUUCUGAAAAGACAGAAGAUCCCCAAAUAUUCGCGAGAGCCAAGACUUUUCUAAACUAGCUGUCAAGAGCAGUGGAUGAAGCACCGCCUCUAGCACCACGACGAAAACCCAGUUCCCAUGCAAGUUCCAGACCUCCGCGCAUUACAACGCACCGCCUAUAAUUCUUAUUUUAUAUCUUCAAUACCCUAUCAAGUGUUGAGGAUCACACGCCCAUAUCAACGGUUUCCUUCUCCGAUCCUGUCUCUCUUUUUUUUCCCAUGGCCACCGAAGGCUCUUCCAAUCUUCUCCCUUUCAAUACUAUUGUUCAAAUGAUCACCCUCCACAAAUUAUCUUAUAUGGCAUGGUCAGAUUCUUCCCCUCAUUGAAAGCCAAUAUCUUAGUGGUCAUAUUGAUGGUUCCAUUGUCCUACCUUCAAAAUUUAACCCUGCUACUUUUCAGACACCAAAUGACAAAUACCUGGCGUGGAGGGCUGCCGACCAACGUCUCCUUUGUCUUCUUCUCUUCUCUCACUGAAGAAUCUUUUGCUGAAAUUGUUGGCCUCUCUACUACACGAGAGGUCUGGCUUGCCUUAGAGACUGCUUUCAAUCAUCGGUCCAAGGCCCCUGAGAUUCAUCUCAAAGAUGAACUCCAGUUAAUGAAAAGAGGUUCCAGACCCGUGACUAACUUUGCUCGUGCCUUCAAAAGCCUCUACGAUCAGUUUCAUGCCAUUGGUCGUCCAGUUGAUCGAUGACACGAACAAAGUGCACUGGUUCCUCUGUGGCCUCGGUGCGAUUUCUCCAGUUUCUCCUCUAACUAGAUUACACUCACUCACUUGCCCAUAUUUGCUGAUCUUGUUUCCAAAGCUGAAAGUUUUGAGAUUUUUCAGAGGUCCCUUAAGCCUACAGCACCUCCUUCUGCUGCCUUCACAGCCAUUCCCCGCGUGUCCAACAGCCCAAACCAGCGGAAUCCUUCCCGCUUUAACCCUGGCCAAUCCUCCUGCAAUGGCCGCACUAACUUCUCUCCUGGUCGUCUUCCUCGCUGUCAAAUCUAUCGAUCGUGAUGAAGGUCACUACGCUGAUCAGUCCCCCCAGCGCUACAACCGUGGUGACUCUGCUGCCCAUCUUGCUGAAGCAUUCACUGGGUCUUGUUCUCUCAAUGACCCUCCGACCUCUGAUUGGUUUUUAGACACUAGAGCUUAAGCUCACAUGUGUCUAAUGCUCCCUCUUUGGAUCUACCCAUGCCAUAUGUUGAAUCGUCAAACAAGAAGGAAGGGUGGUAGCAACCGGUAAGAUGGAAUGUGCUAGGGCGUGGCAACUUGGCCUUUAUUUCCGUUCUAAAAAAUAAACAAUAACAUGCUUCCUAUGAUUUAUGGCAUACUCGCAUUGGACAUGUAAUUAAUUAUGUUAUUUAUUCUUCAAAUAAAAAAAUGCAAUCUUUAUCUUUUACCUCUUUACAAGCUUCUCCUCAUUUAUGCUGCUCCUACUUGUGAAAAACCAUCGCUUGUCAUCUCCAUGUAAUGAACGUAGGUCCUUCUCCAUUGUUCAUUACGAUAUUUGGGGUUCCUCCCCCGUCAAAUCAAAUUCUGUCUCUACGUAUUAUGUUCUCGUCAUUGACAAUUAUUCUCGCUUUAGUUGGCUUUAUCCCUUACAAUUCAAAUAUGAUUUUGGUUCUGUUCCAGGUCCCUCUUCGCCCACUUCGGUCUCUGGUCCACUUUCUCCCAUGGCACUGUCGGGUCCUGUUGUGGCACUGUCGGGUCCUGUUGUGGCACAGACGGUCCCUCCUAUUUCUAUCACCUCCAAUCUGAUCAGUUCUCAUCCCAUGCUCACACGUGCUAAGGCUGGAAUUUUAAGAGUCGCCACCCCGCAAUCUUGGUGUCUUCAGCUCCACUGGCCUUCUUUCGACAUUUCUUGCCUCUGCUAAGCUUAAGGGCUUCAAAUCUACUGCUAAGAAUCUUGCCUGGCUUGCCACCAUGAAUGAAGAAGUUCGAGAUCUGUAGCAUAACCGCACCUGGGUUUUGGUCCCUUGCCCUGCCAACACCAACAUUGGGGGCUCCAAAUGGAUGUUUUGAACCAAAUAUUUUUCUGAUGGCUCUAUCGAGAGACUCAAGACUCGUCUUGUUGCCAAGGGUUACACUGAGAUCCCUGGUCUUGACUAUACUGAUACUUUUAGCCUUAUUAUUAAGGCUAUUAUUGUUUUUGUUGUCCUUUCUCUGACCAACCAGUGGCCCCUUGACCAAUCCAACAUCAAAAAUGCUUUUCUCAAUAGCAUUUUUAGUGAAAAUAUCUAUAUGGGGCAAUCUCCUAGCUACAUUGAUCAUCGUUUCCUUAAUUAUGUUUGCCAAUUGAAGUAAGCUACAUGGUUUCAAGCAGGCUCCUUGUGCCUCGUGCCUAGUUUCAGCAUUGCCGUUCUUUUCUUCUUCAACUUGGGUUUACUUGUGGCCAUGCUGACACAUCUCUAUUUGUUUUUCAUAAGCACUCUGCAAUUAUUUAUUUACUUUUUAUGUUGAUGGUAUUAUUAUUACUGAGAACGACUUAUCUCUUCUUAAUAGUUUUACUCAUAAACUCCACUAUGAGUUUGCUACCAAAAA